This 497-nucleotide ribosomal RNA is filed under the name uncultured bacterium. RNAcentral describes it as "partial 16S ribosomal RNA". It matches the Rfam family "Bacterial small subunit ribosomal RNA", at positions 28 to 507 of the family's 1533-position model. The record is from RNAcentral.
GAUGAACGCUGGCGGCGUGCCUAAUACAUGCAAGUCGAGCGAACGGACGAGAAGCUUGCUUCUCUGAUGUUAGCGGCGGACGGGUGAGUAACACGUGGAUAACCUACCUAUAAGACUGGGAUAACUUCGGGAAACCGUAGCUAAUACCGGAUAAUAUUUUGAACCGCAUGGUUCAAAAGUGAAAGACGGUCUUGCUGUCACUUAUAGAUGGAUCCGCGCUGCAUUAGCUAGUUGGUAAGGUAACGGCUUACCAAGGCAACGAUGCAUAGCCGACCUGAGAGGGUGAUCGGCCACACUGGAACUGAGACACGGUCCAGACUCCUACGGGGAGCAGCAGUAGGGAAUCUUCCGCAAUGGGCGAAAGCCUGACGGAGCAACGCCGCGUGAGUGAUGAAGGUCUUCGGAUCGGAAAACUCUGUUAUUAGGGAAGAACAUAUGUGUAAGUAACUGUGCACAUCUUGACGGUACCUAAUCAGAAAGCCACGGCUAACUACGUG